This 1317-nucleotide ribosomal RNA is filed under the name Escherichia coli. Its description in RNAcentral is "partial 23S ribosomal RNA". It matches the Rfam family "Bacterial large subunit ribosomal RNA", at positions 425 to 1744 of the family's 2925-position model. Lineage: Bacteria; Pseudomonadati; Pseudomonadota; Gammaproteobacteria; Enterobacterales; Enterobacteriaceae. The record is from RNAcentral.
CGUGGUAUCCUGUCUGAAUAUGGGGGGACCAUCCUCCAAGGCUAAAUACUCCUGACUGACCGAUAGUGAACCAGUACCGUGAGGGAAAGGCGAAAAGAACCCCGGCGAGGGGAGUGAAAAAGAACCUGAAACCGUGUACGUACAAGCAGUGGGAGCACGCUUAGGCGUGUGACUGCGUACCUUUUGUAUAAUGGGUCAGCGACUUAUAUUCUGUAGCAAGGUUAACCGAAUAGGGGAGCCGAAGGGAAACCGAGUCUUAACUGGGCGUUAAGUUGCAGGGUAUAGACCCGAAACCCGGUGAUCUAGCCAUGGGCAGGUUGAAGGUUGGGUAACACUAACUGGAGGACCGAACCGACUAAUGUUGAAAAAUUAGCGGAUGACUUGUGGCUGGGGGUGAAAGGCCAAUCAAACCGGGAGAUAGCUGGUUCUCCCCGAAAGCUAUUUAGGUAGCGCCUCGUGAAUUCAUCUCCGGGGGUAGAGCACUGUUUCGGCAAGGGGGUCAUCCCGACUUACCAACCCGAUGCAAACUGCGAAUACCGGAGAAUGUUAUCACGGGAGACACACGGCGGGUGCUAACGUCCGUCGUGAAGAGGGAAACAACCCAGACCGCCAGCUAAGGUCCCAAAGUCAUGGUUAAGUGGGAAACGAUGUGGGAAGGCCCAGACAGCCAGGAUGUUGGCUUAGAAGCAGCCAUCAUUUAAAGAAAGCGUAAUAGCUCACUGGUCGAGUCGGCCUGCGCGGAAGAUGUAACGGGGCUAAACCAUGCACCGAAGCUGCGGCAGCGACGCUGAUGCGUUGUUGGGUAGGGGAGCGUUCUGUAAGCCUGCGAAGGUGUGCUGUGAGGCAUGCUGGAGGUAUCAGAAGUGCGAAUGCUGACAUAAGUAACGAUAAAGCGGGUGAAAAGCCCGCUCGCCGGAAGACCAAGGGUUCCUGUCCAACGUUAAUCGGGGCAGGGUGAGUCGACCCCUAAGGCGAGGCCGAAAGGCGUAGUCGAUGGGAAACAGGUUAAUAUUCCUGUACUUGGUGUUACUGCGAAGGGGGGACGGAGAAGGCUAUGUUGGCCGGGCGACGGUUGUCCCGGUUUAAGCGUGUAGGCUGGUUUUCCAGGCAAAUCCGGAAAAUCAAGGCUGAGGCGUGAUGACGAGGCACUACGGUGCUGAAGCAACAAAUGCCCUGCUUCCAGGAAAAGCCUCUAAGCAUCAGGUAACAUCAAAUCGUACCCCAAACCGACACAGGUGGUCAGGUAGAGAAUACCAAGGCGCUUGAGAGAACUCGGGUGAAGGAACUAGGCAAAAUGGUGCCGUAACUUCGGGAGAA